This 497-nucleotide ribosomal RNA is filed under the name uncultured bacterium. RNAcentral's name for it is "partial 16S ribosomal RNA". It matches the Rfam family "Bacterial small subunit ribosomal RNA", at positions 28 to 507 of the family's 1533-position model. The record is from RNAcentral.
GAUGAACGCUGGCGGCGUGCCUAAUACAUGCAAGUCGAGCGAACGGAUGAGAAGCUUGCUUCUCUGAUGUUAGCGACGGACGGGUGAGUAACACGUGGAUAACCUACCUAUAAGACUGGGAUAACUUCGGGAAACCGUAGCUAAUACCGGAUAAUAUUUUGAACCGCAUGGUUCAAAAGUGAAAGACGGUCUUGCUGUCACUUAUAGAUGGAUCCGCGCUGCAUUAGCUAGUUGGUAAGGUAACGGCUUACCAAGACAACGAUGCAUAGCCGACCUGAGAGGGUGAUCGGCCACACUGGAACUGAGACACGGUCCAGACUCCUACGGGAGGCAGCAGUAGGGAAUCUUCCGCAAUGGGCGAAAGCCUGACGGAGCAACGCCGCGUGAGUGAUGAAGGUCUUCGGAUCGUAAAACUCUGUUAUUAGGGAAGAACAUAUGUGUAAGUAACUGUGCACAUCUUGACGGUACCUAAUCAGAAAGCCACGGCUAACUACGUG